CUGAGAGAUUGCUCCCACGUCCAAGGACGGCAGCAGGCGCGAAAAUUGCCCACUCUUUGCAGGAGGCAGUUAUGAGACGUGAAGAUGAGUAUCUUGUAAAGAGGGAUAGGAGAAUUGGAGGGCAAGUUUGGUGCCAGCAGCCGCGGUAAUACCGACUCCAAGAGUGUGUAUGAGAGAUGCUGCAGUUAAAAAGUCCGUAGUCAUAGAAGGGCAAAGAGAGAUGCGAGGUCUCACAGUGCGAUGAUGGAGGAGCCGAUGGGGAACAUAGUAUACCAGGGCGAGAGAUGAAAUGCCAAGACCCCUGGUGGACUGAGCGAGGCGAAGGCGAUGUUCUUGUAGGCAUUCGGUGAUCAAGGACGAAGGCUGGAGUAUCGAAAGUGAUUAGAUACCGCAGUAGUUCCAGCAGUAAAAGAUGCCGACAUGCUCAUUGGACACAGUGGGCAGGGAGAAAUCUUAGAGUUCGGGCUCUGGGGAUAGUAUGCUCGCAAGGGUGAAAAUUAAAGAAAUUGACGGAGCUACACCACAAGGAGUGGAUUGUGCGGCUUAAUUUGACUCAACGCGAGGAAACUUACCAGGGCCAAGUAUUGUGUAGAAACGAGCAAUACAGGAGUGGUGCAUGGUCGUUGGAAAUUGAUGGGAUGACUUUGACCUUAAAUGGUUGAAUGAGUGAGAUCUUUUGGACAUGUUCCGCACGGAACAGGAAGGAAAAGGCUAUAACAGAUCCGAGAUGCCCUCAGAUGCCCUGGGCUGCACGCGCAAUACAAUAGCAGGUAGAGAGAGAGACAGGAAGGUGCUCAGAUGGACUAUGUGCUGUAAGGCACAUACGAAAGAGGAAUUCCUAGUAAGUGUGUAUCAACAAUGGAUAUU
Molecule: ribosomal RNA, 867 nt
Filed under: Vittaforma corneae
Lineage: Eukaryota; Fungi; Microsporidia; Nosematidae
Description: SSU rRNA
Rfam family: Microsporidia small subunit ribosomal RNA
Source: RNAcentral